UAGGGAAUCUUCGGCAAUGGGGGCAACCCUGACCGAGCAACGCCGCGUGAGUGAAGAAGGUUUUCGGAUCGUAAAGCUCUGUUGUAAGAGAAGAACGUGUGUGAGAGUGGAAAGUUCACACAGUGACGGUAACUUACCAGAAAGGGACGGCUAACUACGUGCCAGCAGCCGCGGUAAUACGUAGGUCCCGAGCGUUGUCCGGAUUUAUUGGGCGUAAAGCGUGCGCAGGCGGUUUAAUAAGUCUGAAGUUAAAGGCAGUGGCUUAACCAUUGUUCGCUUUGGAAACUGUUAAACUUGAGUGCAGAAGGGGAGAGUGGAAUUCCAUGUGUAGCGGUGAAAUGCGUAGAUAUAUGGAGGAACACCGGUGGCGAAAGCGGCUCUCUGGUCUGUAACUGACGCUGAGGCUCGAAAGCGUGGGGAGCAAACAGG
RNAcentral lists this ribosomal RNA (429 nucleotides) under bacterium. Its description in RNAcentral is "partial 16S ribosomal RNA". It matches the Rfam family "Bacterial small subunit ribosomal RNA", at positions 355 to 776 of the family's 1533-position model. The record is from RNAcentral.